UACGUAGGGCGCAAGCGUUAUCCGGAAUCAUUGGGCGUAAAGAGCUCGUAGGCGGUUUGUCGCGUCUGCCGUGAAAGUCCGGGGCUCAACUCCGGAUCUGCGGUGGGUACGGGCAGACUAGAGUGAUGUAGGGGAGACUGGAAUUCCUGGUGUAGCGGUGAAAUGCGCAGAUAUCAGGAGGAACACCGAUGGCGAAGGCAGGUCUCUGGGCAUUAACUGACGCUGAGGAGCGAAAGCAUGGGGAGCGAACAGG
This 253-nucleotide ribosomal RNA is filed under the name uncultured bacterium. RNAcentral describes it as "partial 16S ribosomal RNA". It matches the Rfam family "Bacterial small subunit ribosomal RNA", at positions 524 to 776 of the family's 1533-position model. The record is from RNAcentral.